GACGAACGCUGGCGGCGUGCUUAACACAUGCAAGUCGAACGGUAAGGCCCUGCUUUUGUGCGGUGCUCGAGUGGCGAACGGGUGAGUAACACGUGAGUAACCUGCCCUUGACUUUGGGAUAACUUCUGGAAACUGGGGCUAAUACCGGAUAGGAGCACCUGCUGCAUGGUAUGGGCUGGAAAGUUUCGGUGGCUUGGGUAGGACUUGCGGCUUAUCUGCUUGUUGGUGGGGUAGGGGCUAACAAAGGCCUUGACGGGUAGCCGGCCUGGGAGGGUGACCGGCCACAUUGGGACUGAGGUACGGCCCAGACGCCUUCGGGAGGCAGCAGUGGGGGAUAGUGCACAAUGGGCGGAAGCCGGAAGCAGGAACGCCGGGUGGGAGAGGACGGCCUUCGGGGUGGAAACCGCUUUAGCCUGGGACGAAGCGUGAGUGACGGUAAUGGGUAAAGAAGCACCGGCUAACUACGUG
This 468-nucleotide ribosomal RNA is filed under the name uncultured bacterium. RNAcentral describes it as "partial 16S ribosomal RNA". It matches the Rfam family "Bacterial small subunit ribosomal RNA", at positions 28 to 507 of the family's 1533-position model. The record is from RNAcentral.